AGUGAACGCUGGCGGUAGGCCUAACACAUGCAAGUCGAACGGCAGCACAGUAAGAGCUUGCUCUUACGGGUGGCGAGUGGCGGACGGGUGAGGAAUACAUCGGAAUCUACUUUUUCGUGGGGGAUAACGUAGGGAAACUUACGCUAAUACCGCAUACGACCUACGGGUGAAAGCAGGGGAUCUUCGGACCUUGCGCGAAUGAAUGAGCAGAUGUCGGAUUAGCUAGUUGGCGGGGUAAAGGCCCACCAAGGCGACGAUCCGUAGCUGGUCUGAGAGGAUGAUCAGCCACACUGGAACUGAGACACGGUCCAGACUCCUACGGGAGGCAGCAGUGGGGAAUAUUGGACAAUGGGCGCAAGCCUGAUCCAGCCAUACCGCGUGGGUGAAGAAGGCCUUCGGGUUGUAAAGCCCUUUUGUUGGGAAAGAAAAGCAGCAGGUUAAUACCCCGCUGUUCUGACGGUACCCAAAGAAUAAGCACCGGCUAACUUCGUG
RNAcentral lists this ribosomal RNA (492 nucleotides) under uncultured bacterium. RNAcentral's name for it is "partial 16S ribosomal RNA". It matches the Rfam family "Bacterial small subunit ribosomal RNA", at positions 29 to 507 of the family's 1533-position model. The record is from RNAcentral.